This 19-nucleotide small nuclear RNA is filed under the name Arabidopsis thaliana (thale cress). RNAcentral's name for it is "snRNA_14381". The record is from RNAcentral. Lineage: Eukaryota; Viridiplantae; Streptophyta; Magnoliopsida; Brassicales; Brassicaceae.
UCCAUCCAUUCUCAUGACU